CAGUCGCCACGGUAAUACAGAGGGUGCAAGCGUUAAUCGGAAUUACUGGGCGUAAAGCGCGCGUAGGUGGUUUGUUAAGUUGGAUGUGAAAUCCCCGGGCUCAACCUGGGAACUGCAUCCAAAACUGGCAAGCUAGAGUAUGGUAGAGGGUGGUGGAAUUUCCUGUGUAGCGGUGAAAUGCGUAGAUAUAGGAAGGAACACCAGUGGCUAAGGCGACCACCUGGACUGAUACUGACACUGAGGUGCGAAAGCGUGGGGAGCAAACAGGAUUAGAUACCCGCGUAGUCCCUGUCUCUUAUAC
RNAcentral lists this ribosomal RNA (301 nucleotides) under uncultured bacterium. Its description in RNAcentral is "partial 16S ribosomal RNA". It matches the Rfam family "Bacterial small subunit ribosomal RNA", at positions 509 to 807 of the family's 1533-position model. The record is from RNAcentral.